This 370-nucleotide ribosomal RNA is filed under the name uncultured organism. RNAcentral's name for it is "bacterial SSU rRNA". It matches the Rfam family "Bacterial small subunit ribosomal RNA", at positions 526 to 896 of the family's 1533-position model. The record is from RNAcentral.
CGUAGGGUGCAAGCGUUAAUCGGAAUUACUGGGCGUAAAGCGUGCGCAGGCGGUGAUGUAAGACAGUUGUGAAAUCCCCGGGCUCAACCUGGGACCUGCAUUUGUGACUGCAAGGCUAGAGUACGGUAGAGGGGGAUGGAAUUCCGCGUGUAGCAGUGAAAUGCGUAGAUAUGCGGAGGAACACCGAUGGCGAAGGCAAUCCCCUGGACCUGUACUGGCGCUCAUGCACGAAAGCGUGGGGAGCAAACAGGAUUAGAUACCCUGGUAGUCCACGCCCUAAACGAUGUCAACUGGUUGUUGGGUCUUUACUGACUCAGUAACGAAGCUAACGCGUGAAGUUGACCGCCUGGGGAGUACGGCCGCAAGGUUG